This 440-nucleotide ribosomal RNA is filed under the name uncultured bacterium. RNAcentral's name for it is "partial 16S ribosomal RNA". It matches the Rfam family "Bacterial small subunit ribosomal RNA", at positions 338 to 795 of the family's 1533-position model. The record is from RNAcentral.
CCUACGGGAGGCAGCAGUGGGGAAUAUUGCACAAUGGGGGAAACUCUGAUGCAGCGACGCCGCGUGAGUGAUGAAGUAUCUCGGUAUGUUAAGCUCUAUUAGUAGGGAAGAAAAUGACGGUACCUGUUUAAGUAGCUCCGGCUAACUACGUGCCAGCAGCCGCGGUAAUACGUAGGGUGCAAGCGUUAUCCGGAUUUACUGGGUGUAAAGGGAGCGUAGACGGCAGGACAAGUCUGGAGUGAAAUGUCGGGGCUUAACCCCGGAAUUGCUUUGGAAACUGUGCAGCUAGAGUGCAGUAGAGGUAAGUGGAAUUCCUAGUGUAGCGGUGAAAUGCGUAGAUAUUAGGAGGAACACCAGUGGCGAAGGCGGCUUACUGGACUGUAACUGACGUUGAGGCUCGAAAGCGUGGGGAGCAAACAGGAUUAGAUACCCUUGUAGUC